CUGAUCAGCCAUGCCGCGUGCAGGAUGACGGCCCUAUGGGUUGUAAACUGCUUUUAUACGGGAAGAAAUGCGCCCACGUGUGGGCGUCUGACGGUACCGUAAGAAUAAGGACCGGCUAACUCCGUGCCAGCAGCCGCGGUAAUACGGAGGGUCCGAGCGUUAUCCGGAAUCAUUGGGUUUAAAGGGUCCGUAGGCGGGCCUGUAAGUCAGGGGUGAAAGUUUGUGGCUCAACCAUAAAAUUGCCUUUGAUACUGCAGGUCUUGAGUCAUGGUGGGGUCGCCGGAACAUGUGGUGUAGCGGUGAAAUGCAUAGAUAUCACAUAGAACACCGAUCGCGAAGGCAGGUGGCCAACCAUGUACUGACGCUGAUGGACGAAAGCGUGGGUAGCGAACGGGAUUAGAUACCCCGGUAGUCCACGCCGUAAACGAUGGAUACUAGCUGUGGGGACUUCGGUCUCCGUGGCCAAGCGAAAGUGAUAAGUAUCCCACCUGGGGAGUACGUUCGCAAGAAUGAAACUCAAAUG
This 523-nucleotide ribosomal RNA is filed under the name Flagellimonas marinaquae. RNAcentral's name for it is "bacterial SSU rRNA". It matches the Rfam family "Bacterial small subunit ribosomal RNA", at positions 383 to 907 of the family's 1533-position model. Lineage: Bacteria; Pseudomonadati; Bacteroidota; Flavobacteriia; Flavobacteriales; Flavobacteriaceae. The record is from RNAcentral.